AAAAAGCCAACACGUGGAGGUGUUUGAAUCCCUGAAAGCAAGAGUGUAUGUGUUUAUUUAAAUGUUGAGAUGAAUUGAAAACUUACACUCCAAAUCCAAUAACACAAAUACCACAUACUUCAGCUCCGAACCUCAUUAUCAAUCUAACCUUUUAGAUCCUAUCAAUGAAAACUCUUCACAUAGCUUAUACACUACAGACUUAACAGAUUGUUUCCCUGGCGUAGAUCCACAACAAGCUUUGUGUUUCUUUUUUGAACCAAACAGGCAGACCUUGUUUCGAGGAAUCUUCCUGAUAGAACGAGAAGCAAGAACAACAAACCAAAAAUGUCAAAUGAUAGCAUAGUAUUAGAACAAUGUUUGUGAAUGCGAACAACAUAUUGAUUUUGGAUCACCUAACCAACUCAAAGGCAAUUAAAACACCAACAAAUCACAAUACAAGAAGAAAAAUAUAAAGAAAACCUUGUAAUUUUGUUGUAAUAUGAUUUUAUCAUUGGUUUUUCUGGAGCUAUUAUUUGAUUCAUCAUUAGUGUUUUCCUCUACAAUGUUUUCUUUGUGCAUUUUACGAUUCUCAUUUACAUGUUAUGUGCUUUUUCAAUUACCAAUAUCAAGAUGUAGAAAAUUACUACUAGAGACUACAACUUACUUAUUCAACAUGAAUUGAAGACUAGUUAUGCAACUUACUGAAUAUAGCUGGCUAUCACAACAAACCAGGGAGCCACCCAAUAUCGGCCUUGAAGAAUCUGACACUUUGAAAUGACAGUGUCGUAGAUUUGAGAAGAAGAGUUAUAGGUGAAGUCAACUACGGAGUCUGAUAAUCCGGUGUAAUACCCAUAGUUUUAAAUUCUAAUUUAUGUAUUUUGGUAUUAAA
RNAcentral lists this long non-coding RNA (868 nucleotides) under Cicer arietinum (chickpea). RNAcentral describes it as "long non-coding RNA (CARI_LNC003389)". The record is from RNAcentral. Lineage: Eukaryota; Viridiplantae; Streptophyta; Magnoliopsida; Fabales; Fabaceae.